CAGAUUCUUCGGGACUGCUAGUGUGGCGCACGGGUGAGUAACACGUAAGUAAUCUACCCUCGAGUGGGGAAUAACGUUCGGAAACGGACGCUAAUACCGCAUAACGCGGCGGCACCGCAAGGUGACAGUUGUUAAAGGAGCAAUCCGCUUGAGGAGGAGCUUGCGGCAGAUUAGCUAGUUGGUAGGGUAAUGGCUUACCAAGGCUACGAUCUGUAUCCGGUCUAAGAGGACGGUCGGACACACUGACACUGAAUAACGGGUCAGACUCCUACGGGAGGCAGCAGUCGGGAAUUUUGGGCAAUGGGCGAAAGCCUGACCCAGCAACGCCGCGUGAAGGAUGAAGUAUUUCGGUAUGUAAACUUCGAAAGAAUAGGAAGAAUAAAUGACGGUACUAUUUAUAAGCUCCGGCUAACUACGUGCCAGCAGCCGCGGUAAUACGUAGGGAGCAAGCGUUGUUCGGAUUUACUGGGCGUAAAGGGCGCGUAGGCGGCGCGGUAAGUCACUUGUGAAAUCUCUGAGCUUAACUCAGAACGGCCAAGUGAUACUGCAGUGCUAGAGUGCAGAAAGGGCAAUCGGAAUUCUUGGUGUAGCGGUGAAAUGCGUAGAUAUCAAGAGGAACACCUGAGGCGAAGGCGGGUUGCUAGGCUGACACUGACGCUGAGGCGCGAAAGCCAGGGGAGCAAACGGGGAUUAGAUACCCCGGUAGUCCUGGCCCUAAACGAUGAAUACUUGGUGUCUGGAGUUUCAAUACUCCGGGUGCCGUCGCUAACGUUUUAAGUAUUCCGCCUGGGGAGUACGCUCGCNAAGAGUGAAACUCAAAGGAAUUGACGGGACCCGCACAAGCGGUGGAGCAUGUGGUUUAAUUCGACGCAACGCGAAGAACCUUACCUAGACUAGAAUGUGAGGAAUGUCGGGUAAUGCCGCAUCCGUAUACGAGCCCANACAGUGCCNCAAUCACGUCGCCGUCUUAGGGUAUNUUCCUUCUUUUUC
Molecule: ribosomal RNA, 990 nt
Filed under: uncultured Acidobacteriaceae bacterium
Lineage: Bacteria; Pseudomonadati; Acidobacteriota; Terriglobia; Terriglobales; Acidobacteriaceae
Description: bacterial SSU rRNA
Rfam family: Bacterial small subunit ribosomal RNA
Source: RNAcentral